RNAcentral lists this ribosomal RNA (501 nucleotides) under uncultured freshwater bacterium. Its description in RNAcentral is "bacterial SSU rRNA". It matches the Rfam family "Bacterial small subunit ribosomal RNA", at positions 8 to 554 of the family's 1533-position model. The record is from RNAcentral.
AGAGUUUGAUCCUGGCUCAGAAUGAACGCUGGCGGCAGGCCUAACACAUGCAAGUCGAACGGAUCCUUCGGGAUUAGUGGCGGACGGGUGAGUAACGCGUGGGAACAUACCCUUUGGUACGGAAUAGCCCUCGGGAAACUGGGAGUAAUACCGUAUGUGCUCUUCGGAGGAAAGAUUUAUCGCCAAAGGAUUGGCCCGCGUUGGAUUAGGUAGUUGGUGGGGUAAUGGCCUACCAAGCCGACGAUCCAUAGCUGGUUUGAGAGGAUGAUCAGCCACACUGGGACUGAGACACGGCCCAGACUCCUACGGGAGGCAGCAGUGGGGAAUCUUAGACAAUGGGGGAAACCCUGAUCUAGCCAUGCCGCGUGAUCGAUGAAGGCCUUAGGGUUGUAAAGAUCUUUCAGAUGGGAAGAUAAUGACGGAACCAUCAGAAGAAGCCCCGGCUAACUCCGUGCCAGCAGACGCGGUAAUACGGAGGGGGCUAGCGCUAUUCGGAAUUAC